CUUUCACCACCCAAACUACCAUGGGUUUAUUUUUUUUAACGGAAGCUAUCUGCAUGGAACAAAGAGUUAAAACAAUCUGCUUUGGACAUAAAGCAAGGACCACCGAAAUGCUCCCCUUCCCUCAGAAGAAGUACUUCCUUCCCGUGGGAAGAUCCAGGGAAGAGGAGACGCCUCCUGCCCUUGGGGAUCAAGUUCUGUGGCUGCCCCUUCCCUUCUCUGCAGCUGAUGGAGAUCCCUGUGCUGAGCCUGCAUCAGGGCUUUGAGAAAAUAUAAACUGCACCCAAGCAGCUUCCAGAUUGA
This 300-nucleotide long non-coding RNA is filed under the name Ictidomys tridecemlineatus (thirteen-lined ground squirrel). Its description in RNAcentral is "lncRNA (ENSSTOG00000032203.1)". Lineage: Eukaryota; Metazoa; Chordata; Mammalia; Rodentia; Sciuridae. The record is from RNAcentral.